GGGUAGAGCUCUGUGGUAGAAUGUCUGCCUUACGUGCAUGAGGCUUUGGGUUCAAUCCCCAGUAACCA
This 68-nucleotide transfer RNA is filed under the name Marmota monax (woodchuck). RNAcentral describes it as "tRNA.Val". Lineage: Eukaryota; Metazoa; Chordata; Mammalia; Rodentia; Sciuridae. The record is from RNAcentral.